This 460-nucleotide ribosomal RNA is filed under the name uncultured bacterium. Its description in RNAcentral is "partial 16S ribosomal RNA". It matches the Rfam family "Bacterial small subunit ribosomal RNA", at positions 338 to 795 of the family's 1533-position model. The record is from RNAcentral.
CCUACGGGUGGCAGCAGUGAGGAAUAUUGGUCAAUGGGCGCGAGCCUGAACCAGCCAAGUCGCGUGAGGGAUGACGGUCCUAUGGAUUGUAAACCUCUUUUGUCGGGGAGUAAAAUACGCCACGCGUGGCGUUCCGAGAGUACCUGAUGACAAAGCAUCGGCUAACUCCGUGCCAGCAGCCGCGGUAAUACGGAGGAUGCGAGCGUUAUCCGGAUUUAUUGGGUUUAAAGGGUGCGCAGGCGGAUUUUUAAGUCAGUUGUGAAAGUGUGAUGCUCAACCGUAAAAUUGCGUUUGAUACUGGCAGUCGUGAGUGCAGUUGAGGGAGGCGGAAGUCGUGGGGUCGCGGUGAAAUGCUUAGAUAUGACGAAGAAGGCCGAUUGCGAAGGCAGCAUACUAAACUGCCACGUACAUUGAUGCUCGAAAGUGGGGGGAUCAAACAGGAUUAGAUACCCUGGUAGGC